Molecule: unclassified non-coding RNA, 331 nt
Filed under: Hevea brasiliensis (rubber tree)
Lineage: Eukaryota; Viridiplantae; Streptophyta; Magnoliopsida; Malpighiales; Euphorbiaceae
Source: RNAcentral
GGUGUAAUGCCAAAGGACUUCAAAAUGUGAUGCUUAGUGUCUUUUACAAUUUUCCUCUAUUUGUCACUGCAACCAGAUUUGAAACUUGCAAACAAUAGCAGAUUUCAGCCUGCCAAAGUUAGUCUCAGCUUUUUGUUUGAGUUCCUACCCUCUUCAUAGCUUUUAAAUUGACUCAAACCAGACCUAGAUGACAAAACUACAAGGUGUCUUUUGUCAAUAGUUCUAGAAAAUAACCUCUCAUUUUCUCUUAAAAUGCAUUGUUAUAUCUUCUUUGCUGUUCAAACCUGAGCUAUAGGAUAAUAAAAUCUUCUGAAUCACAAGUUUGUUACUA